Molecule: long non-coding RNA, 293 nt
Organism: Magallana angulata
Lineage: Eukaryota; Metazoa; Mollusca; Bivalvia; Ostreida; Ostreidae
Exons: 3
Source: RefSeq, a predicted model, not a curated record
GACUGAGGGGACGUUCUUUAAAGGAUUCUACCUACGAGUAAUAUCAACCAUUUCCGAAGAAACGGUGAAUGGGAGUUUUACAGAUAUUCCACCAGAAUCUCGAGCAUGUUCAAAAAUGGAUGUUUGUCAUACAAGGAGCUCAUUAAACCGAACUUCGCAGGAAUUUAUAUGGAGACCCGAUUCCUACUACCAUGGAAAUGUAUAUUUCAAAGCGACGGUCGUGGUAACAUAUGAACAAGGGUAUAAAAUACUCUCAACAGAAGAAGGGUUCUCUACACCAAGUCAGAGUGAGG